UUGCUCGCACAAAUCCCUAAAUCGGAACAGUACAGAGAAGAUGACGCAGCCCUUGUGCAAGAACGACACACAAAUUUUCCAAGUGUUCUACACUUCU
This 97-nucleotide small nuclear RNA is filed under the name Mus pahari (shrew mouse). RNAcentral describes it as "snRNA (MGP_PahariEiJ_G0033143.1)". The record is from RNAcentral. Lineage: Eukaryota; Metazoa; Chordata; Mammalia; Rodentia; Muridae.